RNAcentral lists this transfer RNA (87 nucleotides) under Firmicutes bacterium CAG:114. RNAcentral's name for it is "transfer RNA-Leu(CAA)". It matches the Rfam family "tRNA". From Rfam's summary of the family: Transfer RNA (tRNA) molecules are approximately 80 nucleotides in length. Their secondary structure includes four short double-helical elements and three loops (D, anti-codon, and T loops). The record is from RNAcentral. Lineage: Bacteria; Bacillati; Bacillota. RNAcentral also lists the same sequence under 3 other names.
GCCGGUGUGAUGGAAUUGGUAGACGUAGUGGACUCAAAAUCCACCGGUGGCAACACCGUACCGGUUCGAGUCCGGUCACCGGCACCA